AGAUUGAACGCUGGCGGCAUGCCUUACACAUGCAAGUCGAACGGCAGCACGGGAGCAAUCCUGGUGGCGAGUGGCGAACGGGUGAGUAAUACAUCGGAACGUGCCCAAUCGUGGGGGAUAACGCAGCGAAAGCUGUGCUAAUACCGCAUAAGAUCUACGGAUGAAAGCAGGGGGUCGCAAGACCUUGCGCGAAUGGAGCGGCCGAUGGCAGAUUAGGUAGUUGGUGAGGUAAAGGCUCACCAAGCCUUCGAUCUGUAGCUGGUCUGAGAGGACGACCAGCCACACUGGACUGAGACACGGCCCAGACUCCGACGGGAGGCAGCAGUGGGGUAAGUUUUGGAACAAGUGGGACGAAAGCCUAGAUCCAGCCAUCGCCGCGUGCGAAGGAUAGAAGGCCGUUCGGUUACGUUAAACGUGUCGUUUUAGGUAACCGGUAAAGUAAAGU
This 445-nucleotide ribosomal RNA is filed under the name uncultured soil bacterium. RNAcentral describes it as "bacterial SSU rRNA". It matches the Rfam family "Bacterial small subunit ribosomal RNA", at positions 26 to 464 of the family's 1533-position model. The record is from RNAcentral.